CUCUCCUCUCCGUUGUAUACAAGACAGUGUGUGUUAAACAGAGAGAGAGGGAGAGCGUGUGUGUUAGUGCUCUCAGCUUUUUUUCACAAGUAAACUUUUCCCUUAGAGGCAUUUAUGAUUUACUUCGAUGUAUUUUAUUGAACGGCAUCGUUACAGAUAAAUUCACCGUGGAUUCGUCUGUGCGGUGUAAUUAAUGCGCAAGUCCUAUGCAUUAACAUAUUUGGCCUCACAUACCACGUGUAAACAAUGCCUGCCGUAAACUGUGGUCCAGUUUGAACAUGUGAAGCUCCAAGUGUUUUACUUUCCUUAGGAACAGCAUCGGGUUAAAUUAAAUAAAAGCCUGUUGAUUGGACCUGUGACGUCGAGAUAAGCCUCAGCUUCCUCGCCCCCCCCCCCUCUCUCUGUGACCCCCCCCUUCCCCCCUACAGAUAAGUCGACUAUGACCUACUGAUAAGAUUGCUGAUAACAAGUCCCGAGUGUCUUCUUCAUACCUCGCUGGCUCGUCUCGUGGCAAAAGAUUAGACUCUUUAAUAACGAAACAGAUGACCUAUUAUUUCAUCACUGGAACAUUCUCUUAUAUCGUGCUGCUAUCAUAAUAGUUUUCAUAAUAGUCGUGAAUGAUGAUAGAUUCAUAAGUGAGAGAGAGAUAGAGAGAGGGAAAGAAA
This 665-nucleotide long non-coding RNA is filed under the name Penaeus japonicus. RNAcentral describes it as "uncharacterized LOC122244542, transcript variant X1". Lineage: Eukaryota; Metazoa; Arthropoda; Malacostraca; Decapoda; Penaeidae. The record is from RNAcentral.